CGUUAAAAGAUUAUUUAAUUGUUUAUGAUCCUUUAAAAUCAUUCAUUUUUAGACACCAUUCCGUUUUCUUUGUUUCUGAGUUGAAAUGUUUUGGGUAAAUUUUUUUUCUUUCUUCUUUAACUAUACUAUUAUUUGUUUGGAACGUUAUGGAGAGAAGAGUUAUAAUCGUUUUCUUAAACGGAACAUCCCAUAUCCAGAAAUCAACACCACUUUGCUUAUUUGAAUAUUAUACUAAAGAAAUCGGAUACGGGUCACGGAAAUUAUAUUGAAUGAUAUGGAAUUUUGAAGAAACAAAUGUCUGUUUUAACAUUAUUUACAGAUAGUCAGGUUGCGGGGAUAGAAAAUAAAUGUACACAAAAAUAUACACCAUUUAAACGAAACAUGAUGACUGUCGUUGCAAAAAUCAAGGUUCCUGAGCUAUUUUCAAAAUCGAAGCG
RNAcentral lists this long non-coding RNA (437 nucleotides) under Mytilus galloprovincialis (Mediterranean mussel). Lineage: Eukaryota; Metazoa; Mollusca; Bivalvia; Mytilida; Mytilidae. The record is from RNAcentral.